CUAUAGCUUUGGCUAAAAGCAUGUAAAUAUUUGGCUGAAAUAGUGACCAAACCAAAACUUUAUACUUUUCGAGACAUUUAACAUUUUAAAGCAUUUAGAAAUACGAACUAUAGUGAACUUUUAUAUGCUUAUGAAUGAGAGAAAAGUAAAGUGUGCACGCAUAAAUUAUAAAACGGAUUUAGCACAAUUUUAUUAAUUAAACUUUGGUGCCUGCAAUUGCUCGGGUUGCUGUGUUGUGUUAAAAUACGUCAACGUGCUCUGCUCGACGUGUAGUCCCUCUGCCGCUUCUAGUUUUCGACGCGUUGCUCUUCUUAUCAACAGUAGUAUUUAGCAGAAUUUUACAACGGCGUUGAUGUUGUUUAAUUUCGUUUAGAUUUUUUUGUUCCAGUAGAAAAGCAACCAAAACAUCCUAGAGGAUUUGAUGAACGAGAUUUUCAUAAUUAAAAUUGAGAAAAUUAAAUUUUUAAUAGGUGUGUGUUUGUUGGCGAAGAGACUCACUCCGAGAAAAAAGGCGUACUUGCAUCCUGAACAUGGCAUUUGGGCGCGACUAAAUCACGGUUCUGACGCUAACACGUAACAAAUGAUCAACAAUAGCACGCACCAAGCAUUCAUCCGUAUAUGCAAAUAAUAGAAUACAAAUAAAAGCUUAAUCAACAACUUCCUCUGCUGCAGAGCUAUUUGAAGACGCGCAGCGACUGCGACUAGGGCAAGCCAAUAACAAAAUACAAAGAAAAGAGUACUAAACGAGCGUACGCACAGAAAGCAACACUGGCAAUCAUACAAAAUUGCCCUACCUACAGCAAAAGCAACAAGAUAGCACAAAGCGAAUAGCUUGUAGAUUUAAUAUUGACCAUGCUUUUUUUCUCAUAAAGGCAUUAUCAUUUUUCCUAGUCAAUGAGAAGUUAACUCUGUAAAUUUAAGAACCAGCGGCAAAUUAUUAAUAUAAUAAUAUUGUACAUUUAUCUCAAAUAAGCAAUAUACCAGGGCGCGAAUUUGGCAUCCCCGCAGGACGGUAAGAUUUUUAAAAAUUGCAACGCAGCACUGCAACCCGAUCUUCGCGUCGCAGUCAACGUCGCAGCAGCGUUGCCAUUGCUGCUGCCAUAAUUUUUUGUUCGUUUUAAUCCGUCCGCGGUUCAGAGGAGUGGAGCGAGACAUUUUCAAAAGCAUCCAGAAUCCUUCCGGAUAUAAAACGCAAAAUCUUCCAAAACUGAGUGAUUAAAAAUUCAUUUAUUCAAUACAUAUUAGUGAAACUCUCACGCGAAAAGAAUAUUAACAAUUACGUCAACGUGUGGCAAUAGACUAUUCUCCAACCGUCUGAAGAAAAAUACUUGGUGGAUGUGUUAAAGAAUACAUUUAUAAAAAAAAAACUUAAAUUUUGAUUAACCUGGAUCAGACUUGGUGCAGUCAUUACCUAGUUUACAAGUUCACAGCAGAGUCGUCAACUUGUUCAACUGCCGGAUUAGAUAUUGUUGGUGCAGUUACUGCGCCAGCAAAUAUCUCGGGGGCUAUCUGAAAAGAAAAUUACAUUUUAUUCCUUUUAUUAUGAAUAAUAACAUUACAUCAACACCACCAAGUGGUUCGGCUGUUUUACCAGUUCAGCAUCAGAAUCUGCAUCAGACGCAACAAGCGUAUGCUUCGCAUUUUAGUGGGAACUCGGUGCUUCAGUUAUUACCAUUGCAAAUAAAUGGAUCUGGAAUAAUAGCUGGCAGUAUGAAUGUAGCCGGUGCAAAUAAUAGCGGUACAAGGAUUGCAAACCCCACCACCUGCAAUGUUGUAACAACUAAUGCAAACAAUAGCAGCACUUUAACUCUUAUACCACAGCUUUCAUUUAUUUCAUCAGGUGUUGCUCCUGCACCACUUUCUGCCAAUGUUGGCGAUUUAAGUACAAUGCAACAGUCGACAACAUCUGUUUCGCCUAUGAUCAGCGUAAUUUCCAGUUCCCAUAAUAGCCAACCUAAUACAACCAGCUUCCUAAUACCAACUGGUAUUCAAAAUAACUCUAUCUCAUCGGGAUGUGGAACUGCUGUGCCAAUUAAUGUCAUUCUAACUGGAACAAGUGGUAAUGUAAUCUCAGCCGGCAACAAUAAUACAGUCUUUACUACGGGAGUAGCCGGAGGCCCACAAGUGGAUAUACAACCUAAUUCGAGUAAGUUUCAUAGAACUUUUGUUUUAUUAAGUGAAAGUUAUGAAUUUAAGUAUUUGGAUAAAGACC
RNAcentral lists this unclassified non-coding RNA (2212 nucleotides) under Rhagoletis pomonella (apple maggot). Its description in RNAcentral is "uncharacterized LOC118742704, transcript variant X1". The record is from RNAcentral. Lineage: Eukaryota; Metazoa; Arthropoda; Insecta; Diptera; Tephritidae.